Rattus norvegicus (Norway rat) is the source of this 1638-nucleotide non-coding RNA. The record is from RefSeq and is a predicted model, not a curated record. NCBI's taxonomy places the organism in Eukaryota, Metazoa, Chordata, Mammalia, Rodentia, Muridae.
GGAAGCAAAGAGAAUUCUCUAGAUUUAGAGAGAUGGAGUAUGUGAAGGUUACCACUGUGUCACAAGAGACACUCCUGGAAAAGGCCCUCUCGAAUCUGGUCAAUGUAAGGAAGGCUGUUCAGCAGGUAGGCCAUGGCAUUUCUCAGUCAUCAUCAUUAGGCCCUGCCUGUAAAAUCUCUUGUAUCCUGGAGAGCCCUAGCUCCUUCUGUGAGGUCACAAGUGUUGUUGUGACUGCAUCUGCCUCUCAGAUAUUCCUUCAGUACCUCUAAGGCUUACUAAUUGGCCUUUAAUUCAGAGUGAACAGCCAUUUUUGAGGGAGAAAAGGAGGAUGAAGAGGUCAGAGAUGGAAAGAAGGAAGAUGCCCUUCUAUCUUGGUGUAAAAAAAGGAAGAAAUACGUGGUCCAUUGGAGAGCUAAAUUAGUCCUGGUGAUCCAAAGAAGGAGCUCAGGGAGGCACUGAACAUGCCGCAAGGUACACAUGACUUCAUCUUCAGCCUGCACUCCACUGAGAGGACCUGCUUCCUCAAAGAUCUGCACUGAUUCAAGUCCACUGCCAUCGCCCAAGAAGAAUCAGUAUACUACCACCCACUCUAGCACAACUAAAAUAUGUAUUCUUCAACAAUGUAAUACCUUUCAUAGGAUUUGACUUUAUGGAUAAUGCAAUUAUGAUUGUUGCAGGAACACAAAUUUAUGAUUUAUUCAAAACAUGAUUUAUUUUGAAAUAUUUAAAAAUGUCAAUCAGAAUGUUAUUUUUCCUUCUAUGUAUCAACACAUUAUUUAUUUCUCAGUUAUUGAUGCUGUACUUUAAUGACGUGUGGUUUGCUUAUUUCUUAUUUGCCAUGCAUGGGAUACCUGUUUAUCUCUUUGGCUUUUACUUAUAUAUUUUGGACCUUGGACAUUUAAUCAUUUAAUCAGCCUUGUUAAAUAACAGGGAGACAAUAUAGCAACAAAACCUAUUCACUUAUAUCAUCAUAGGCUAACUGUCGAUGAUGCUUUGAUGAGGGUCAAACUCAAACACAAAUCUCCAUCUCAGUUCAGGCAAGGACAUUUUUGUCCUUCAGUCAAAUGGGGCGAACAUUCUUUUCUGCCUACUGUCCUGAUGCGUUUGCUGAAAAACCAAAAAAUUGUCACCAAUGCGUGCUGAGCUGUACAGUCAAUGAUGGAUAAGAGAGUGAUAUGUUCAUGAAUAAGCGGCCUAAGACAGGAGGGCCGACAUUAGCUGCUGCCUUAUCCCAUGAUGGGCCCUGGUUACAAGAUUCUCUUGGCCAUGUGAUAAAUAACACCCCAACCUAAGACAGACGCAGUUUCCAAGGGGCCAUUCCAGGACAUACAUGGCCAUUGGUCACUUUUACGUUUGAAUAUAAGUAAGGUUAUGAUUGACUAGGUUCAUGGAAAAUCCCCAGGCAGCUGUUGAAGACUAAUACAAAUUUGGUGGUCAAGAAAAAUAAUAAUAUGAUAAUGUUGUCCUGAUGAUUAAUAAUACGACACACCUGUGAACUCUCUGACAUCCUUUCAACAUCAGUUCUGUGACCAAACGAAUCCUGUGUUCUUGCCCUGCGUAAAUGUUUCUUAGUUUCCUCCCUCCUUCUGUUACCCCUGUUAUGGUAUAAAUUCAGCCUUGGAGAAAAAUAAAAUUGAC